This 465-nucleotide ribosomal RNA is filed under the name uncultured crenarchaeote. RNAcentral describes it as "bacterial SSU rRNA". It matches the Rfam family "Archaeal small subunit ribosomal RNA", at positions 1 to 471 of the family's 1478-position model. The record is from RNAcentral. Lineage: Archaea; Thermoproteati; Thermoproteota.
UUUCCCGGUUGAUCCCGCCGGACCUGACUGCUAUCGGAUUGGUACUAAGCCAUGCGAGUCAUUGUAGCAAUACAAGGCGGACGGCUCAGUAACACGUAGUCAACCUAACUCGUGGACGUGGAUAACCUCGGGAAACUGAGAAUAAACCACGAUAGACCAUAGUGCCUGGAAUGGCUUAUGGUCCAAACAGUUUACUGCCAUGGGAUGGGACUGCGGCCUAUCAGCUUGUUGGUGAGGUAAUGGCCCACCAAGGCGAUUACAGGUACGGGCUCUGAGAGGAGAAGCCCGGAGAUGGGUACUGAGACACGGACCCAGGCCCUAUGGGGCGCAGCAGGCGAGAAACCUUAGCAAUGUGCGAAAGCACGACUGGGUCAGUCCGAGUGAUUCCUGAUAAAGGAGUCUUUUGCUUGUCCUAAAAGCACAGGUGAAUAAGGGGUGGGCAAGUCUGGUGUCAGCCGCCGCGGU